GAUGAACGCUGGCGGCGUGCCUAAUACAUGCAAGUCGAGCGAAUGGAUUAAGAGCUUGCUCUUAUGAAGUUAGCGGCGGACGGGUGAGUAACACGUGGGUAACCUGCCCAUGAGACUGGGAUAACUCCGGGAAACCGGGGCUAAUACCGGAUAACAUUUUGAACCGCAUGGUUCGAAAUUGAAAGGCGGCUUCGGCUGUCACUUAUGGAUGGACCCGCGUCGCAUUAGCUAGUUGGUGAGGUAACGGCUCACCAAGGCAACGAUGCGUAGCCUACCUGGGAGGGUGAUCGGCCACACUGGGACUGAGACACGGCCCAGACUCCUACGGGAGGCAGCAGUAGGGAAUCUUCCGCAAUGGACGAAAGUCUGACGGAGCAACGCCGCGUGAGUGAUGAAGGCUUUCGGGUCGUAAAACUCUGUUGUUAGGGAAGAACAAGUGCUAGUUGAAUAAGCUGGCACCUUGACGGUACCUAACCAGAAAGCCACGGCUAACUACGUGCCAGCCGCCGCUGUAA
RNAcentral lists this ribosomal RNA (515 nucleotides) under uncultured bacterium. RNAcentral describes it as "partial 16S ribosomal RNA". It matches the Rfam family "Bacterial small subunit ribosomal RNA", at positions 28 to 523 of the family's 1533-position model. The record is from RNAcentral.